GAAGUCAGGAAGCAGGGAAAAGUCUCUGAGAAGGGAAAGACUAGUACAGUUCACGAAAGAUGAGCCGAAUUUAUCACGACACGUCUUUACAGAACAAACCAGUACACAAUGAGACAUUUGACAGCGGGUGGUGUCCGUCUAUGUACGAAAGCGGUCAGGGGGUUCUUCUCGAAGGAAAGCUGCUGGAUGUCUCCAGACAUGCGAUCAGUGACGACAAAAAUCCCAAGGUCCGUUUCUCUGUACUCUACAUCAAACCCAGCCGCAUCCAUCAGAGGAAGUUCGAUGCCAGCGGGAAAGAGAUUGAGCCAAACUUCAGUGACACCAAAAAGGUCAACACUGGCUUCCUCAUGUCCUCCUACAAGGUGGAAGCUAAAGGGGAGUCAGACCGUCUGUCUGAGGAGCAGCUGUCAGCGAUGGUGAACAAAGCCGAGCUGGUGAAGGUAACUGACAAGCACCGACCGAGCGGGACCUGGGCCUUCUGGUACCCAGAGUCAGAGAUGGACAAAACAGAGCUGGAAACAGGGCAGGACGUACGACUGAAGACCAGAGGAAACAGUCCUUUCAUAUUCUCCUUAGCCAAAGUGGACGGCGGCACGGUGACCAAGUGUAACUUCGCUGGAGAUGAAAAGGCCGGAGCGUCGUGGACAGACAAGAUCAUGGCCAACAAAGGGGGCGCUGUCAGCACUCAGAGUCCCGGAGGAGAAGGAGAGGGAGCAGAGGAGGAUGAAUGGGAUGACUGAGGAAACCGUCUCUCCCGGCACCCUGAAGUGUUGGCCCAGUUCCAGUCUGCAGGAUCGCUUGCGGCUACAAACCACUCACCUAUAGCCAAGAACAUAUUCUCCAGCUACGGUCCCCUAUCAUCAGCGUGAAAGCAGCAGGCAUGAAAGCAGCGGGCAUUCCUCUAUCAGAGAUCCAACCAAGACAAAGGGAGAUGUGGAGAUGUACGCACUAGGCUGAGGAAACGUCCCUUUGGACCCCCUUGUCCCUCCAUCAUACUGGCAGACGUAUGUUCUUUUAAUAACAAAAUGGAUUUACUGCAUGCCAGGUGCCUGGUUUGGACUGAAACCUGGCUCGACCGGGCCGUCUCAGACUCUGAAGUCAGUCUUGAUCAUUUCAGCAUCAUUCAGGCGGACAGGACCACUCAUUUGGGCAAAGAAAGGGGUGGUGGGGUCUGCAUCUACGUCAACAACAGAUGAAUAACAACAUCGAAAUCCACAGUCUGUACACCCGAUGACCAGUACCCAAACUGAAGCAUACAACUCCAGAGCUCUCUGGCAUUCACGGACUGGGACGUCUUUCAAGGUGAUCUGGAUGAGGGAGCUUGCGUCAUCACUGGCUCCAUCAAACUCUGCAUCUCCAUUUUCCUCCACUCCCUCCUCCAGCAUCUGGAAUCACCACAAUCCACUUUGUGACUUCAGUACAGUUCAAUGCCACAGGAUGAUUAAGAAACUUCACCACCUCAACAUCCCUCCACUCCAGCUGUAGACCACAAGCUGUUAGAACAGGCACCGUCUCAUCAUCUUCUAUCAUCACCAACACCGGAGCCCAUCAGGUCUCUGAUCUCAGUCCCUCUACGCCAAUGACUGGAGCAGCCUCUCAGCCCGCACCACAUACUCCAAAAGCUCAAUACUCUGCCAAUCAAAAGUCCAUUUCUCACGUCACACAAUGGUGCAGGGACAACUGCCUACAGCUGAACGUGGACAAAACAAAGGAACUGGCCAUUAGCACAUCAAACACAUCUCACACUGGACUGAACCCCACGUCCAUCUGUAGCAGACAGUAGAACAGGUCAACAACGAUAAAUAUCUUGGACUCACUUUAGACAAUACACUGUUUUGAUCAACGCAUCACUUCCAUCCACAACAGUCCCAGCAAAGAGUCCAUGUUCUGUGUUGAGCUGGCUGUGAAAACAAAUCUUCCUCGGUGGCAACAAAGUCUAAAUCUGAACCCUAAAUGAUCGAGAAUGUAUUGCAGUAUUUGUGUGUUAGUGUUAUCUAAGUGCACCUGAUUAACUGUUAAUUGUAAAUGAGUACAAAGCACAAACAGUGGGGACUAAGAGUGCUAAUUAUGAGCACUGAUUAAAUAAGAAAACCUUUGUACUUGUACUUGGAUCUGUAUAAGUCACAGCUUGUUUACUCAAAUGACUCGACCACAGGUCACUUCUGUAUCAAUAGGCCUCUGUAAAACACAUUCCCCAGGCAAGACGAGGCUCUCAGAUCUCUGUGAUGAGGCACCGAGCCGCAGUGCAUCCAUAAGGAAAUCACCAACAAUGGUCUUGUCUUUUCAGUUGGCCGCUCAUGGCUUCAAAGCAGGUUAUGAGACAGAAAACAGAAAAACAUGAGUGAGCCAGUACUGUGGCCAAGGUUCGACGAACGCUUCAGUUUGUACAGUGUGGGGUUGAUACUGAGGUGGUAGAGGUUCAACAUACAGUCACAGCACUCUAUGAACCCAGCUUUGUCAGCAUAUUUACAAUAAUCAUUGCAUAUUUGUCAAGUACCUUCUAUGCCAUGAGCGCUAAUGGUACAAAACAGAGUAAACCUCAGCCGACUCUAGCAUUGGUAGACUAAAGCUGUCCUGGACUUGUCUCUGGAUUACACACUUUAAUUGUUGGGAUUUAAAGCUGCAUUCUUUAUUUAUUUUUAUGCCCAACUGGAAACAGUGGGACAAGCUGAAAACACAAAAUCUGACAUAUCACAGAUGUAGAAAUGGCAGGAAAUGUGAUAUAUUGUUAAUAUAAAAAAUAUUAAUGUGCAACUUAAAGAUUUAUAGUUGUCAUCUCAGUCUGGCAUCAAAGGCAAAAAAAGCAUAUUUCCAAAAUAUAUAGAACUGCUAGUUUAAAACUGCACUAGUCAAUGUCAUUAUAAUAAUAUAUAAUGUUAAUACAAUGGAUCAAAUGACUGACCUGCCCAGUAGUAUUUCUCUGAACAUCUCCUCAUCCCUGCCAGGCUUUUUGCCUUUUUAAGCAUAUUGUUUGUAAUUGGACCACAAACUGUACCCACUGUUCACCACCUGCCCAGCACCAAAAGUUAGUGACUAGCAUAUUAGAGCAUCUAGCAGCUAAAGAGCUGGUGGGGACCAAAAACAGAGCUAAAAGGAUAGUGAAUGUAGGACUUACUUUGAUCAGGUGGACACAAACAUGACACCAAAUUGAAUGUUAAUGUUCAGUGUAGGCUGGAUAUGUAAACAGGAAACAGAUUGCUGACGUGUUCGGCAUAACAGUGUCACAGAGUCUAUUGACAAAUGAGUGUGACUUUCAGCUAGUUGAAGAGUUCUGCCUUUAGGUGCCGGAAAAAAGACUGUCAGAGCUUUAAAGAGCCGUACAACUUGUGAGGGAUUUCAUUUCUGUUAGCUUAGAGUUCUCACAACCUAACCGCUGUGUUUGGCAUGGCUGCUCCACCCUGAUAAACAUACAGUACUGUACGUUAUGGGGCAAACCACCUUCUUGUAAAUCUGUUGGAGUAAAAACGGCUA
Molecule: RNA transcript, 3471 nt
Organism: Chelmon rostratus (copperband butterflyfish)
Lineage: Eukaryota; Metazoa; Chordata; Actinopteri; Chaetodontiformes; Chaetodontidae
Gene: arpin
Gene name: actin related protein 2/3 complex inhibitor
Exons: 7
Source: RefSeq, a predicted model, not a curated record